RNAcentral lists this ribosomal RNA (216 nucleotides) under Glomeromycotina sp. Its description in RNAcentral is "partial small subunit ribosomal RNA". The stretch from base 40 to 216 matches the Rfam family "Eukaryotic small subunit ribosomal RNA", at positions 686 to 864 of the family's 1831-position model. Lineage: Eukaryota; Fungi; Glomeromycota. The record is from RNAcentral.
GGGUCAGUAGGGUGGUCGUGCCACCGGUACGUACUGGUCUCACUGAUUCCUCCUUCCUGAAGAACCGUAAUGCCAUUAAUUUGGUGUUGCGGGGAAACAGGACUGUUACGUUGAAAAAAUUAGAGUGUUUAAAGCAAGCUAACGCUUGAAUACAUUAGCAUGGAAUAAUGAAAUAGGACGAUCGAUCCUAUUUUGUUGGUUUCUACGAUUGAGGUA